UCCGGUUUAUCACCAGCAGUCUCCCUAGAGUCCCCGACACUACUCGUUGGUAACUAAGGAUAAGGGUUGCGCUCGUUACGGGACUUAACCCAACAUCUCACGACACGAGCUGACGACAGCCAUGCAGCACCUGUCUCUAGGUUCCCGAAGGCACUUAUGUAAUUUCUACAUAAUUCCUAGGAUGCAAGAGUAGGUAAGGUUCUUCGCGUUGCAUCGAAUUAAACCACAUGCUCCACCGCUUGUGCGGGCCCCCGUCAAUUUCUUUGAGUUUUAACCUUGCGGCCGUACUCCCCAGGCGGAGAACUUAUCGCGUUUGCUUCGCCACUAAGUACCUUUAUAUACCCAACGGCAAGUUCUCAUCGUUUACGGCGUGGACUAC
Molecule: unclassified non-coding RNA, 379 nt
Filed under: uncultured Gammaproteobacteria bacterium
Lineage: Bacteria; Pseudomonadati; Pseudomonadota; Gammaproteobacteria
Description: contains 16S-23S intergenic spacer region
Source: RNAcentral